This 440-nucleotide ribosomal RNA is filed under the name uncultured bacterium. RNAcentral's name for it is "partial 16S ribosomal RNA". It matches the Rfam family "Bacterial small subunit ribosomal RNA", at positions 338 to 795 of the family's 1533-position model. The record is from RNAcentral.
CCUACGUGAGGCAGCAGUGGGGAAUAUUGCACAAUGGGGGAAACCCUGAUGCAGCAACGCCGCGUGAGUGAAGAAGUAUUUCGGUAUGUAAAGCUCUAUCAGCAGGGAAGAAGAUGACGGUACCUGACUCAGAAGCCCCGGCUAACUACGUGCCAGCAGCCGCGGUAAUACGUAGGGGGCAAGCGUUAUCCGGAUUUACUGGGUGUAAAGGGAGCGCAGACGGAAGUGCAAGUCUGAAGUGAAAGCCCGGGGCCCAACCCCGGAACUGCUCUGGAAACUGGGCGGCUGGAGUACUGGAGGGGCAGGCGGAAUUCCUAGGGUAGCGGUGAAAUGCGUAGAUAUUAGGAGGAACACCAGUGGCGAAGGCGGCCUGCUGGACAGUAACUGACGUUGAGGCUCGAAAGCGUGGGAAGCAAACAGGAUUAGAUACCCUUGUAGUC